RNAcentral lists this ribosomal RNA (465 nucleotides) under uncultured bacterium. Its description in RNAcentral is "partial 16S ribosomal RNA". It matches the Rfam family "Bacterial small subunit ribosomal RNA", at positions 28 to 507 of the family's 1533-position model. The record is from RNAcentral.
GACGAACGCUGGCGGCGUGCUUAACACAUGCAAGUCGAACGGAAAGGCCCCCUUGUGGGGUACUCGAGUGGCGAACGGGGGAGUAACACGUGAGGAACCUACCCUUGACUUUGGGAUAACUUCAGGAAACUGGGGCGAAUACCGGAUAGGAGCUGCUGCUGCAGGGUGGGGGUGGGAAAGUUUCGGCGGUUGGGGAUGGACUCGCGGCUUAUCAGCUUGUUGGUGGGGUAGUGGCUCACCAAGGCUUUGACGGGUAGCCGGCCUGAGAGGGUGACCGGCCACAUUGGGACUGAGAUACGGCCCAGACUCCUACGGGAGGCAGCAGUGGGGAAUAUUGCACAAUGGGCGGAAGCCUGAUGCAGCAACGCCGCGUGCGGGAUGACGGCCUUCGGGUUGUAAACCGCUUUCGCCUGUGACGAAGCGUGAGUGACGGUAAUGGGUAAAGAAGCACCGGCUAACUACGUG